This 781-nucleotide ribosomal RNA is filed under the name uncultured Actinomycetes bacterium. RNAcentral describes it as "bacterial SSU rRNA". It matches the Rfam family "Bacterial small subunit ribosomal RNA", at positions 560 to 1341 of the family's 1533-position model. Lineage: Bacteria; Bacillati; Actinomycetota; Actinomycetes. The record is from RNAcentral.
GUAAAGAGCUCGUAGGCGGUUUGUUGCGUCGGCUGUGAAAUCCCGAGGCUCAACCUCGGGUCUGCAGUCGAUACGAGCAAACUAGAGUGUUGCAGGGGAGACUGGAAUUCCUGGUGUAGCGGUGAAAUGCGCAGAUAUCAGGAGGAACACCGGUGGCGAAGGCGGGUCUCUGGGCAACAACUGACGCUGAGGAGCGAAACUUUGGGGAGCGAACAGGAUUAGAUACCCUGGUAGUCCACGCCGUAAACGUUGGGCGCUAGGUGUGGGGCUCAUUCCACGAGUUCCGUGCCGCAGCUAACGCAUUAAGCGCCCCGCCUGGGGAGUACGGCCGCAAGGUUAAAAAUCAAAGGAAUUGACGGGGGCCCGCACAAGCGGCGGAGCUUGUUGCUUAAUUCGAUGCAACGCGAAGAACCUUACCUAGGCUUGACAAGCACGGAAUUCUCCCAGAGAUGGGAGGUCCGUAAGGGCCGUGCACAGGUGGUGCAUGGUUGUCGUCAGCUCGUGUCGUGAGAUGUUGGGUUAAGUCCCGCAACGAGCGCAACCCUCGUUCUAUGUUGCCAGCACGUGAUGGUGGGGACUCAUAGGAGACUGCCGGGGUCAACUCAGAGGAAGGAGGGGACGACGUCAAGUCAUCAUGGCCCUUACGCCCAGGGCUACACAUGUGCUACAAUGGCCUAUACAACGGGUUGCUACCUGGCAACAGGAUGCCAAUCUCUUAAAGUAGGUCUCAGUUCGGAUCGGGGUCUGCAACUCGGCCCCGUGAAGUUGGAAUCGCUAGUAA